This 497-nucleotide ribosomal RNA is filed under the name uncultured bacterium. RNAcentral describes it as "partial 16S ribosomal RNA". It matches the Rfam family "Bacterial small subunit ribosomal RNA", at positions 28 to 507 of the family's 1533-position model. The record is from RNAcentral.
GAUGAACGCUGGCGGCGUGCCUAAUACAUGCAAGUCGAGCGAACAGACGAGGAGCUUGCUCCUCUGACGUUAGCGGCGGACGGGUGAGUAACACGUGGAUAACCUACCUAUAAGACUGGGAUAACUUCGGGACACCGGAGCUAAUACCGGAUAAUAUAUUGAACCGCAUGGUUCAAUAGUGAAAGACGGUUUUGCUGUCACUUAUCGAUGGAUCCGCGCCGCAUUAGCUAGUUGGUAAGGUAACGGCUUACCAAGGCAACGAUGCGUAGACGACCUGAGAGGGUGAUCGGCCACACUGGAACUGAGACACGGUCCAGACUCCUACGGGAGGCAGCAGUAGGGAAUCUGCCGCAAUGGGCGAAAGCCUGACGGAGCAACGCCGCGUGAGUGAUGAAGGUCUUCGGAGCGUAAUACUCUGAUAUUAGGGAAGAACAAAUGUGUAAGUAACUAUGCACGUCUUGACGGUACCUAAUCAGAAAGCCACGGCUAACUACGUG